This 253-nucleotide ribosomal RNA is filed under the name uncultured bacterium. RNAcentral's name for it is "partial 16S ribosomal RNA". It matches the Rfam family "Bacterial small subunit ribosomal RNA", at positions 524 to 776 of the family's 1533-position model. The record is from RNAcentral.
UACGUAGGGCGCAAGCGUUGUCCGGAAUUAUUGGGCGUAAAGAGCUCGUAGGCGGUUUGUCGCGUCUGCUGUGAAAGUCCGAGGCUCAACCUCGGAUCUGCAGUGGGUACGGGCAGACUAGAGUGUGGUAGGGGAGACUGGAAUUCCUGGUGUAGCGGUGGAAUGCGCAGAUAUCAGGAGGAACACCAAUGGCGAAGGCAGGUCUCUGGGCCACAACUGACGCUGAGGAGCGAAAGCAUGGGGAGCGAACAGG